This 392-nucleotide ribosomal RNA is filed under the name uncultured bacterium. RNAcentral describes it as "bacterial SSU rRNA". It matches the Rfam family "Bacterial small subunit ribosomal RNA", at positions 30 to 424 of the family's 1533-position model. The record is from RNAcentral.
AUUGAACGCUGGCGGCAUGCCUUACACAUGCAAGUCGAACGGCAGCACGGGAGCAAUCCUGGUGGCGAGUGGCGAACGGGUGAGUAAUAUAUCGGAACGUGCCCAGUAGUGGGGGAUAACUACUCGAAAGAGUAGCUAAUACCGCAUACGACCUGAGGGUGAAAGCGGGGGAUCGCAAGACCUCGCGCUAUUGGAGCGGCCGAUAUCAGAUUAGCUAGUUGGUGGGGUAAAGGCCUACCAAGGCAACGAUCUGUAGUUGGUCUGAGAGGACGACCAGCCACACUGGGACUGAGACACGGCCCAGACUCCUACGGGAGGCAGCAGUGGGGAAUUUUGGACAAUGGGCGCAAGCCUGAUCCAGCAAUGCCGCGUGCAGGAAGAAGGCCUCGGUU